This 376-nucleotide unclassified non-coding RNA is filed under the name soil metagenome. RNAcentral's name for it is "partial contains 5.8S ribosomal RNA, internal transcribed spacer 2, and large subunit ribosomal RNA". The stretch from base 1 to 120 matches the Rfam family "5.8S ribosomal RNA", at positions 35 to 154 of the family's 154-position model. The record is from RNAcentral.
GAUGAAGAACGCAGCGAAAUGCGAUAAGUAAUGUGAAUUGCAGAAUUCAGUGAAUCAUCGAAUCUUUGAACGCAUCUUGCGCUCCUUGGUAUUCUGAGGAGCAUGCCUGUUUGAGUGUCAUUAAAUUCUCAACUACACUGACUUUGAAUUGGUGUGGCUUGGAUUUGGGAGGAAAAUUGUUGUGGGCUUUUUGUAUAGUCUGCUCCCCUGAAAUUGAUUAGCGGUACCUUUGUGGAACUGUCUACAGGUGUGAUAAUUAUCUACAUCUUAGACAUCUGCUGGAAUGCUGCUUUCUAAACCUUACUUGUAUUGACAAUCUUGACCUCAAAUCAGGUAGGACUACCCGCUGAACUUAAGCAUAUCAAUAAGCGGAGGA